GUGCUCACUUCGGCAGCACAUAUACUAAAACUGGAAUGAUACAGAGAAGAUUAGCAUGGCCCCCGCACAAGGAUGACACACAAAUUGGUGAAGCAUUCCAUAUUAAA
Molecule: small nuclear RNA, 107 nt
Organism: Erinaceus europaeus (western European hedgehog)
Lineage: Eukaryota; Metazoa; Chordata; Mammalia; Eulipotyphla; Erinaceidae
Source: Ensembl